RNAcentral lists this ribosomal RNA (440 nucleotides) under uncultured bacterium. RNAcentral describes it as "partial 16S ribosomal RNA". It matches the Rfam family "Bacterial small subunit ribosomal RNA", at positions 338 to 795 of the family's 1533-position model. The record is from RNAcentral.
CCUACGGGAGGCAGCAGUGGGGAAUAUUGCACAAUGGGGGAAACCCUGAUGCAGCGACGCCGCGUGAGGGAAGAAGUAUUUCGGUAUGGAAAGCUCUAUCAGCAGGGAAGAAAAUGACGGUACCUGACUAAGAAGCCACGGCUAACUACGUGCCAGCAGGCGCGGUAAUACGUCGGGGGCAAGCGUUAUCCGGAUUUACUGGGUGUAAAGGGAGCGUAGACGGCCAGACAAGUCAGAAGUGAAAGCCCUGGGCUCAACCCUGGGACUGCCUCUGAUACUGUCGGGCUGGAGUGCAGUAGAGGUAGGCGGAAUGCCUGGUGUAGCGGUGAAAUGCUUAGAGAUUAGGAGGAACACCAGUGGCGAAGGCAGCUUACUGGACUGUAUCUGACGUUGAGGCUCGAAAGCGUGGGGAGCAAACAGGAUUAGAUACCCCUGUAGUC